This 376-nucleotide long non-coding RNA is filed under the name Elaeis guineensis (African oil palm). Its description in RNAcentral is "long non-coding RNA (EGUI_LNC031579)". Lineage: Eukaryota; Viridiplantae; Streptophyta; Magnoliopsida; Arecales; Arecaceae. The record is from RNAcentral.
UUGGUCUACAUCUUUUGUGAUACGUAUUUUGUACUUCGAGGGCUAUAUAGCCCUAGAUAGGCACUACAUCGUCAAUCUUGAAGAUUGAUGGCUAUCGAUGGAUGGUUAUUGCUUGUCUCUCACACAUCUUAUGUAUGUUGGCAUGAAGUAUGACUGUUCUGAUUUUUAAGACGAAUGACGGUCAUCGAUAUUUGAGAUGGAUGAUGCGGUGACUAUCCUAGAUCAUACAAUUAUUGCAUCCUACUACAGGCCCUCUCAAUUGGGUUAAUAGGAUCAAGUUGGUCCAUGGACCAAGGUCCUGAUCUUGACUAGUCCGACGAACCAAUCCUCACCACAAUCCUACCUCUUAAAAUGGUGCAUUAGGAUGCUAGUCUCG